GAUGAAGAACGUAGCGAAAUGCGAUAAGUAAUGUGAAUUGCAGAAUUCAGUGAAUCAUCGAAUCUUUGAACGCACAUUGCGCCCGCCAGUAUUCUGGCGGGCAUGCCUGUCCGAGCGUCAUUUCAACCCUCGAACCCCUCCGGGGGGUCGGCGUUGGGGAUCGGCCCUUUCACCGGGUGCCGUCCCCCAAAUACAGUGGCGGUCUCGCCGCAGCCUCUCAUGCGCAGUAGUUUGCACACUCGCACCGGGAGCGCGGCGCGUCCACGUCCGUAAAACACCCCAAACUUCUGAAAUGUUGACCUCGGAUCAGGUAGGAAUACCCGCUGAACUUAAGCAUAUCAAUAAGCGGAGA
This 352-nucleotide unclassified non-coding RNA is filed under the name soil metagenome. Its description in RNAcentral is "partial contains 5.8S ribosomal RNA, internal transcribed spacer 2, and large subunit ribosomal RNA". The stretch from base 1 to 120 matches the Rfam family "5.8S ribosomal RNA", at positions 35 to 154 of the family's 154-position model. The record is from RNAcentral.